AGUGCAUUGGGUAGGGGAGCGUUCUGUAAGCGGUUGAAGGUGUGUGGUAACGCAUGCUGGACGUAUCAGAAGUGCGAAUGCUGACAUGAGUAACGAUAAAGGGGGUGAAAAACCUCCUCGCCGGAAGACCAAGGGUUCCUGUCCAACGUUAAUCGGGGCAGGGUAAGUCGACCCCUAAGGCGAGGCCGAAAGGCGUAGUCGAUGGGAAACGGGUUAAUAUUCCCGUACUUCUUACAAUUGCGAUGGGGGGACGGAGAAGGCUAGGUGGGCCUGGCGACGGUUGUCCAGGUUCAAGUGCGUAGGCUGAGAAAUUAGGUAAAUCCGGUUUCUCUUAAGGUUGAGACACGACGUCGAGCAUCUACGGAUGUGAAGUCAUUGAUGCCAUGCUUCCAGGAAAAGCCUCUAAGCUUCAGAUUGUAAGGAAUCGUACCCCAAACCGACACAGGUGGUCGGGUAGAGAAUACCAAGGCGCUUGAGAGAACUCGGGUGAAGGAACUAGGCAAAAUGGUACCGUAACUUCGGGAGAAGGUACGCUCUCGACGGUGAAGUCCCUCGCGGAUGGAGCUAUUGAGAGUCGCAGAUACCAGGUGGCUGCAACUGUUUAUUAAAAACACAGCACUGUGCAAAAUCGUAAGAUGACGUAUACGGUGUGACGCCUGCCCGGUGCCGGAAGGUUAAUUGAUGGGGUUAGACUUCGGUCGAAGCUCUUGAUCGAAGCCCCGGUAAACGGCGGCCGUAACUAUAACGGUCCUAAGGUAGCGAAAUUCCUUGUCGGGUAAGUUCCGACCUGCACGAAUGGCGUAAUGAUGGCCACGCUGUCUCCACCCGAGACUCAGUGAAAUUGAAAUCGCUGUGAAGAUGCAGUGUACCCGCGGCUAGACGGAAAGACCCCGUGAACCUUUACUACAGCUUGGCACUGAACAUUGACCCUACAUGUGUAGGAUAGGUGGGAGGCUUUGAARCGCAGUCGCUAGAUUGCGUGGAGCCGUCCUUGAAAUACCACCCUUGUAGUGUUGAUGUUCUAACGUCGACCCCUUAUCGGGGUUGCGGACAGUGCCUGGUGGGUAGUUUGACUGGGGCGGUCUCCUCCCAAAGCGUAACGGAGGAGCACGAAGGUGGGCUAAUCACGGUUGGACAUCGUGAGGUUAGUGCAAUGGCAUAAGCCCGCUUGACUGCGAGAAUGACAAUUCGAGCAGGUGCGAAAGCAGGUCAUAGUGAUCCGGUGGUUCUGAAUGGAAGGGCCAUCGCUCAACGGAUAAAAGGUACUCCGGGGAUAACAGGCUGAUACCGCCCAAGAGUUCAUAUCGACGGCGGUGUUUGGCACCUCGAUGUCGGCUCAUCACAUCCUGGGGCUGAAGUCGGUCCCAAGGGUAUGGCUGUUCGCCAUUUAAAGUGGUACGCGAGCUGGGUUUAGAACGUCGUGAGACAGUUCGGUCCCUAUCUGCCGUGGGCGUUGGAGAAUUGAAAGGGGCUGCUCCUAGUACGAGAGGACCGGAGUGGACGAACCUCUGGUGUUCGGGUUGUGUCGCCAGACGCAUUGCCCGGUAGCUAAGUUCGGGAUCGAUAACCGCUGAAAGCAUCUAAGCGGGAAGCGAGCCUUGAGAUGAGUUCUCCCUGAUACUUUAAGUAUCCUAAAGGGUUGUCGUAGACUACGACGUUGAUAGGCAGGGUGUGUAAGCGUUGUGAGGCGUUGAGCUAACCUGUACUAAUUGCCCGUGAGGCUUAACCAU
Molecule: ribosomal RNA, 1730 nt
Filed under: Vibrio alginolyticus 40B
Lineage: Bacteria; Pseudomonadati; Pseudomonadota; Gammaproteobacteria; Vibrionales; Vibrionaceae
Description: bacterial LSU rRNA
Rfam family: Bacterial large subunit ribosomal RNA
Source: RNAcentral